This 169-nucleotide unclassified non-coding RNA is filed under the name uncultured Stachybotryaceae. RNAcentral's name for it is "sequence contains ITS2". The record is from RNAcentral. Lineage: Eukaryota; Fungi; Ascomycota; Sordariomycetes; Hypocreales; Stachybotryaceae.
CAACCCUCAGGGCCCGCCUGCUUGCCAGGCGCGGCGCUGGUGUUGGGGAUCGGCUUCGUUGCCGUCCCCCAAAUACAGUGGCGGUCUCGCUGCAGCCUCCCCUGCGUAGUAGCAACACUCGCAUGCGGAGCGCGGCGCGGCCACGCCGUAAAACCCCCGACUUUCUGAA